AAGAGCAGUCCGCUUGAAGAAGACGUCGUCUUAUCGAAAAAAGUAUGGACUACUGUCCAAUCAAGACACCAACAUGGAGAUGGGGAAUCUUGAGAGCGACGAGGAGGACAUGACAGUUUACGAAGCGAAGGCGCUGAGAAGAUGAGUCCAGGAUAUCUGGCCAAGAGAGCAGAGAAGAUUGGAAAAGAAUAAAAGCAUUCCCCAAGUGUUUUUUCCCCCCACCACUAUAAUAUUAUUUUCCUCCAUAUCGGUGAAGAGCAGUGGACUGGAUUUUCAAAUUUGUUCAAAUUAUUUUUCUGUUAUCAUUUUUAACAUAAAUGUAUGCAUAGACAAAGGGUAGGUGUGCAAUGGUUUGCGGUGAGUAAAUAGACAAUCUUUUUGGUUUUUAUUUAAUCAUCUAUGUUGGGGGGUAACAGAGUGCAGUACGUGGGUGGAAUAUGUCAGGCACAUUUUAAUGCCAAAACUGCCAGUUUCUCCAAAGUUCUGUGGACACUGUGCUUAUCAGAUCGCCGCAAACAGCACGUUUUUCUGUUUGUUUGUUUUUUUUUUCCAUUAUCGCAAGCCAUGGACAUGAGGGGAUUUGUUUUUAUUUUAUUUCUGUCGCUAAAUGUAAUUGUCUUUAUUCGUGUUACUUGGAUUGACCACCUAUUGUGACCUUUUUAGUCACAGGUAAAAAGUGAUUCCAUUCAAGACUUCUUUUUUACCUUUACACUUUACUCUACUGAAAAUCAGUCCUCGGUGGUCAAACUUCACUAUGAACGUCUCGCGUUCAGACUGGGCAGAUUAGACCAGAGCGAUCGAUUACCUUUGGGGAAUUUCUCACCGAGAUCCUUCCAAUAUGCCAAUACAGUGCGAGGCAGCCAUUCUCGCCUGACUGGUUCAUCCAGUGGGAUUGUCGUCCGCUGCUUAAUAGCCCUAGCCACAUCAUCUGGUUAUUACCACAGAAGGAGGGAGUUGCUCACAGUAGCCUUCGUUCAAAAAUCCAUAGACAAUCUCCGAGGUGAUAAAGAGCCCGAUCCUAGAGCUCCAUUAUCUCUGAAUCGAUUAAUUAUUAACCAUUAUCUCCGAAGCUGGAUUUUUUUAGAGGUCAUAUUGCUCAUCAUUGAGAUAAGUGUUGGCAGAGGAGAUGUUUGAUUGGCUAUCCCUCCUCCCUGUUCUGACUUGCGGGCCUUGCAACGUGAUGUUUUCCAGUUAAAGCGGACAACGUUGUACCGAGAUGUGCAUUUAUGUAACGUUUGAAUGUGGCUGUGCAAUAAUGUCAUCAGCUUUUAUUCUUUGCUUUCGAUCUUCUGGCUUUGUGCCAGUACUGUGAGAUUACUGCGUUCACGAUUCCGUUUUCAGAGAACUAGACUAAUGGCUGUUUGCCAAAUGUUGAGUCUUUAAAUUUAAGCACGUGUCUCCUCGAGUUUUGUAGUAGAGCUGGUGUUCAUCCAUUGUUUUGUCAAAUGUUUAAUUCGGCAAUGGAAAGUGUUGGUUACAUUACAAUGGCAGUGGUUCUGCAGAACACAUCAGAGACGGCGUUUACGAUUUAUUCAUUUAUUUGGUUUGGUUUCUAUUUGCGCGUGUCGAACGUGUACGCAGACACGCGCAGGCCUGCUCAACAUCGAACCCAUUUUCAGAAUUUAAACCGAUCGUGCUCACUGUAUUCAGCAAGCCAAAGAGUUCGUAUCAAAGAUUGCAUGUUGAGAAUGUAUAAGAGUAAAAAAAAUGCCUUGUUCGCUGCUUGGUUAUUGUAAGGGUUCAUAUCAUAAUCUCUGUAUGCUGUAAAAGUAUAUGCACUGUUUUUUUUCUUUGACCACAUCAAAUUCCACAGACAGGUAUGCAGAACGAGGGAGGUAAAUAAGGCCAUUUGACGCAAGGCUUUACACUGUUGAACAUUUGCUUAAUUGUAAUGAAUUAUGUGCCGUUUCUCAGGGGGUCACCUGUAAUUGCGCGUAAGUGCGAUUUUUCCUGCGCGGGAGUUAAUGAAAUGAGACGGGCGGCCAAGCGAGACGGGGCCCCUGCUGUAGGAACGGGCUGUUGGGUCGUCGAGCCAGAACCCGCUGAGGAAUCUCACCUCACCUCUGCGCCGACUGAUUUCAUGGUAGUGAACAUGGAACUGACAUUUGGGAUUUAUGUCUUGUAGCCCCGAUAUUCUAUUAUCUUUGUACAGGACAGCAGAAUUCUCAGCAGAUUCCAUAGUCUCUGAUUUGGCGCUCCGGGUGCGUCACCCCCUCUUGCGAAUUGUGAGGCUUCUCUGGCUUUUUGGCGGCUUAGCUUGUCCGCUUAAAUGAUACUGUGUAUUUUAUUAUUUUUAAUUUUUUUAAUUUUUUUGUUGUUUGUCAUUAAUAAUCUAUAUGUGGAGUCAUAGACUUCUCAGUUUGUUGGGCCUGAUAUAAAAUAAAAAAAAAAACAUCGGGAUGGGGGAUGGAAAGUUAUGGGUUGUAAAAUCUGUUUUGAAUACUUAUCUGUCACGUGACAGAACGGGUGGACCCGGGAAGGCGCGUGAGUGGGAUUCCAUAGCCUGGACCAAAUUUUGUGGGAAAUAUUCCAUAUUCCCUUCAACCGAAACGAUGCGCUCUGGAAUAUGCUGUUUUCUUAAUCAGAAUUCCUGCGUUCAGACGAGUCGCGGAAGCUCCUGCCUUCGCUCCGGAGAACGCCAAGCGUUGCGGGUGGCAGCCUGCAAUGAUGUUAUGCCAACUGUGUCUACUCAAGACUUAAAAAGUAUGAAUUUCUUGUGUGAAAAACUAUUUUUAAACUGAUGCUUUAAAUGGCUUGUAUCUCCUUCAAGCUGAUUUUUGUAAUCUCUUAAAGCUAAUUUGUCUGUAAGGAGUUGAGAAAUGUGCGCUUUUGGUUAAAUUUCACAGAUGUCUGAAUUGGGUGUUUGAUUGUGAUGGAAAAACAAACGAGUUGCAACUUGGAAACAGUCGCCGAUGAAGGGUUUUGCAGCUCACUGGAGUGUUUUGUUUGUUCAGAGUCGCAUCAAACACUGCUACACGAGUACUAUAUUAUUCUGUAAUCCUUUUCCUUGCUGUUUCUACUUCUCAGUUCUGUUGGUAUCUAAAUUAAUUCCCUGGAUAUUUUAAACAGGGUUUGCAUAAUUGGGGCCAAAUACAGCAGUAGAGCGGGUGAAGAGGUUAAAGAAUAUGCAACUCUGGGAAUUAAUGAAUUAAUUUCCAUUUUUGGUUUGAAAUGAGAGGUAACUUUCGGUCACAGAGGGGAAGUGCCUCCCUUCUGCUAAUGCAGCAGCCUUUGACUGCGGACAAUCAAGCGCGUGUGUUGUACACUGCACUCUUUUUCCAAUAAAAUAAUUACGAGUGAUUUUCAAUAGAA
Molecule: RNA transcript, 3312 nt
Organism: Conger conger (European conger)
Lineage: Eukaryota; Metazoa; Chordata; Actinopteri; Anguilliformes; Congridae
Gene: fam174c
Gene name: family with sequence similarity 174 member C
Exons: 3
Source: RefSeq, a predicted model, not a curated record